This 181-nucleotide unclassified non-coding RNA is filed under the name soil metagenome. Its description in RNAcentral is "partial contains 5.8S ribosomal RNA, internal transcribed spacer 2, and large subunit ribosomal RNA". The record is from RNAcentral.
AACACUGUUAACCUGCGGUACCUGCGGAGGGAUCAUUACAAAAUGAAAAGGCGCGGCCUCACCCUUUGGAGAGGGUUGGGCCAAGCCGUUUCUCCAUGUGAAAUUGUUAUUUUUCCGUGGGGCAUGAGCUCCGCCUGUACACAUUUAUUUUGAAACUCUUAAAACUUUCAACAAUGGAUCU